CCUACGGGGGGCUGCAGUGGGGAAUAUUGGACAAUGGGGGGAACCCUGAUCCAGCCAUGCCGCGUGUGUGAAGAAGGCCCUCGGGUUGUAAAGCACUUUCAGUGAGGAAGAACGCCUGGUGGUUAAUACCCAUCAGGAAAGACAUCACUCACAGAAGAAGCACCGGCUAACUCCGUGCCAGCAGCCGCGGUAAUACGGAGGGUGCGAGCGUUAAUCGGAAUUACUGGGCGUAAAGCGCGCGUAGGUGGCUUGAUAAGCCGGUUGUGAAAGCCCCGGGCUCAACCUGGGAACGGCAUCCGGAACUGUCAAGCUAGAGUGCAGGAGAGGAAGGUAGAAUUCCCGGUGUAGCGGUGAAAUGCGUAGAGAUCGGGAGGAAUACCAGUGCGAAGGCGGCCUUCUGGACUGACACUGACACUGAGGUGCGAAAGCGUGGGUAGCAAACAGGAUUAGAUACCCCGGUAGUC
Molecule: ribosomal RNA, 464 nt
Filed under: Vreelandella stevensii
Lineage: Bacteria; Pseudomonadati; Pseudomonadota; Gammaproteobacteria; Oceanospirillales; Halomonadaceae
Description: partial 16S ribosomal RNA
Rfam family: Bacterial small subunit ribosomal RNA
Source: RNAcentral